CCUACGGGAGGCAGCAGUGAGGAAUAUUGGUCAAUGGACGAGAGUCUGAACCAGCCAAGUAGCGUGAAGGAUGACUGCCCUAUGGGUUGUAAACUUCUUUUAUAUGGGAAUAAAAUGUUCCACGUGUGGGAUUUUGUAUGUACUUUAUGAAUAAGGAUCGGCUAACUCCGUGCCAGCAUCCGCGGUAAUACGGAGGAUCCGAGCGUUAUCCGGAUUUAUUGGGUUUAAAGGGAGCGUAGGUGGGUUGUUAAGUCAGUUGUGAAAGUUUGCGGCUCAACCGUAAAAUUGCAAUUGAAACUGGCAGCCUUGAGUACAGUAGAGGUGGGCGGAAUUCGUGGUGUAGCGGUGAAAUGCUUAGAUAUCACGAAGAACACCGAUUGCGAAGGCAGCUCACUGAACUGCAACUGACACUGAGGCUCGAAAGUGUGGGUAUCAAACAGGAUUAGAUACCCUAGUAGUC
Molecule: ribosomal RNA, 460 nt
Filed under: uncultured bacterium
Lineage: Bacteria
Description: partial 16S ribosomal RNA
Rfam family: Bacterial small subunit ribosomal RNA
Source: RNAcentral